GGAAGUAAAAAUCGUAACAAGGUCUCCGUAGGUGAACCUGCGGAGGGAUCAUUACAGAGUUCAUGCCCUACCGGGUAGAUCUCCCACCCUAUGUUAUUAUUACUUUGUUGCUUUGGCGGGCCGUUAGGCUCCGGCCCGACUACCGGCCCCGGCUGGUAAGCGCCCGCCAGAGGACCCAAAACCCUGAAUAUUAGUGUCGUCUGAGUACUAUAUAAUAGUUAAAACUUUCAACAACGGAUCUCUUGGUUCU
RNAcentral lists this unclassified non-coding RNA (250 nucleotides) under plant metagenome. RNAcentral describes it as "partial contains small subunit ribosomal RNA, internal transcribed spacer 1, and 5.8S ribosomal RNA". The stretch from base 1 to 54 matches the Rfam family "Eukaryotic small subunit ribosomal RNA", at positions 1778 to 1831 of the family's 1831-position model. The record is from RNAcentral.